CAGCGUCCGGAGGGCAGCGUCUCAGCUCUAAUAUAGAACGUUAGGAUUAUGCUAAUUAACUUCAGCGGUUUGCUCACAGCCGUCGCCGUGGUCUAUUCAGAUCAUGUGCCAUGUGGUGGACACCUGUAUGAGCCAGAUGGAGGAGGCUGAUGGCUGUGUGGCUGAGUCUCUCCAUCACUUUGCUGCUGCAACACCACAAUCUGCCAUGGCAGUAUCUUAACUUGAGAAAAUGGGUCCGAGAGAGGAGCUCCAACAAGAGGACACCUACAGACUGCGUCAAGUCAUGUGUGAAAUACCUCAAGACUUCAGCGGAUGAAAUCAGAGACAUUGCAGAAGCUGUAACAGACACUUCAGCAUUCUUGGUCUGGAUUGAUACUUCGCAGGUAAAAACUGCAAACCACCUGAGACACGGCGGGUUGAACUUUGGUUUCCCUGUGAUGCCGAAGAAACGCUUAAAUGUUUGUCAUAUUCAUUUUCUGAUCUCUGGCAAUUGAAUCUGCCAGCAGCAUUAAUCUCACAAAGAUGGGAUCGUUCAGCAUGCUGUACAUGCAAUGUGAAAAAUUGACACAAUUUUUGUCUUUAAUUAAAGUUUGUCUGUUAUAAA
Molecule: long non-coding RNA, 604 nt
Organism: Anoplopoma fimbria (sablefish)
Lineage: Eukaryota; Metazoa; Chordata; Actinopteri; Perciformes; Anoplopomatidae
Exons: 4
Source: RefSeq, a predicted model, not a curated record